GACGAACGCUGGCGGCGUGCUUAACACAUGCAAGUCGAACGGAAAGGCCUCUUUCGGGGGGUACUCGAGUGGCGCACGGGUGAGUAACACGUGAGUAACCUGCCCUUGACUUUGGGAUAACUUCAGGAAACUGGGGCUAAUACCGGAUAGGAGCUCCUGCUGCAUGGUGGGGGUUGGAAAGUUUCGGCGGUUGGGGAUGGACUCGCGGCUUAUCAGCUUGUUGGUGGGGUAGUGGCUUACCAAGGCUUUGACGGGUAGCCGGCCUGAGAGGGUGACCGGCCACAUUGGGACUGAGAUACGGCCCAGACUCCUACGGGAGGCAGCAGUGGGGAAUAUUGCACAAUGGGUGGAAGCCUGAUGCAGCAACGCCGUGUGCGGGAUGACGGCCUUCGGGUUGUAAACCGCUUUCGCUCAUGACGAAGCUUUGUGUGACGGUAGUGGGUAAAGAAGCACCGGCUAACUACGUG
RNAcentral lists this ribosomal RNA (467 nucleotides) under uncultured bacterium. Its description in RNAcentral is "partial 16S ribosomal RNA". It matches the Rfam family "Bacterial small subunit ribosomal RNA", at positions 28 to 507 of the family's 1533-position model. The record is from RNAcentral.